GACGAACGCUGGCGGCGGGCCUAACACAUGCAAGUCGAACGGACAGGCACUGCUUUUGUGGGGUGCUCGAGUACGGAACGGGUGAGUAACACGGGUGUAACAUGGCCUUGACAUACGGAGAACUAUAGGAAAUUGGGGCUAAUACCGGAUAGGAGAUCCUGCUGCGUGGUGGGGGUGGGAGAGUUUGGGGGGGUGGGGAUGGUCUCGCGGCUUAUCAGCUUGUUGGUGGGGUAGUGGCUUACCAAGGCUUCGACGGGGAGCCGGCCUGAGAGGGGGACCGGCCACACUGGGACUGAGAUGCGGCCCAGACUCCUACGGGAGGCAGCAGUGGGGAAUAUUGUCCAAUGGGCGGAAGCCUAAUGCAGUAACGCCGCGUGCGGGAUGACGGCCUUCGGGUUGUAUACCGCUGUCGCCUGUGACGAAGCGUGAGUGACGGUAACGGGUAAAGAAGCACCGGCUAACUACGUG
Molecule: ribosomal RNA, 468 nt
Filed under: uncultured bacterium
Lineage: Bacteria
Description: partial 16S ribosomal RNA
Rfam family: Bacterial small subunit ribosomal RNA
Source: RNAcentral